Molecule: long non-coding RNA, 1288 nt
Organism: Mytilus trossulus (common blue mussel)
Lineage: Eukaryota; Metazoa; Mollusca; Bivalvia; Mytilida; Mytilidae
Exons: 2
Source: RefSeq, a predicted model, not a curated record
UUUAAAGGCAGUGCUUUAAGGCCUGACUUUUAAGUCAUGAGGUUCAUCUUUUCAUACGCAAUCUUUGCAGGGGGUCUUUUGGCCAGAAAUAGACCCGGAAAUGUUCGAAUUUCUCCUCUUCUUUUUAUGGUAUAAUAUGGUUUUUGUUUCUUUCAUUUACAUUGGGGACUAAAGAAACGAUCAGUGUGUAUUGUUCGUUUUAUAGAAAUUGUUAUUAGUGUGUAUUUUGCAUUAUAAACAGUCAACCUGACUACAAACUAUCAUUAUGUGUAUUCCGUGUGGAAAGAGGUCGGGUCAAUUUCGAGUGUUAUCUGACAUCUAAAGAUUCUUUAAUUAGUUCAGACGUUGAUAUAACAAUGAAAAGUCGACUGAACAUGAUUAAUAUUGCAUCUUCUAUAAUUCAAAGCGGAAUUCGGUUUAUGAACGAGAAACCGUAAAAGCGUUUCUAGUUAUGUAUGUUGUCUACGUAUUAUCCUGGUUCCCCGUACUACGUUCCGGGUAUUAGCUAUUUGAUAUAUGUGAUGUGUAAUAUUACGAUCGGGUACCAGCCAAUCUACGUGUGUAUGUGUAUAUGAUUUCCCGCCAAAAUGGCCGAUUUACAGCUAAAAAAAUAGUCCAUAAACGUUCCGUAUAAUGAUAUGCAAAUUCAUGAUUAAUCGUAACUUUUUUUUUAUCUUUGUAUAAUAAAUAUAACAAAAUGGAAACCACAAAAUUGAAAAUAACAUUAUUUUACGAGGAUUUCUCAUAUUUUUCUCACUUCCGGCGCAGUAAUACGUAUGUUUUGAAGAAGCUCGAAGGAUUUGACAAAGUGAAUUGAGAAGGAAACGGAUAGAUAUACGUCCUUGCUAUCAGGGCACAAACCCACUUUAAAGAGACUUGUCUACUGCCAUACCCAUCCUAUUUUCAUGCUCCAUUUGCAAGCAAGAGACUGAAUGGUUUACAAAAUUAAAAAUCAGGACGGUGUCCAAUUAAAACAAAAGAGUCCAAUUAAAACAAAAGAACUAAACUGGAUGAAUAUUGUAGGAGAAAUCUAGAGGAAAGUUUUGAUUUGUGAAAUUGGUUUUCCUGAAAAGUCAUUCAUCCUAGCCUGCAGAAAGGAACUAUAACUGUCCACCACCAACUGACGAGCUAAUGUUGAGCUUCACAUAUGGAAUUACUCAAAUACCAUCAAUGUCUAUGUUUUCAGCACAGAUUUCACAAGUUAUGACAAAGCUGUGCUUUUUUUUAUACCUGUUAAAGAGUUGUAUACUAAAUUUAAUUUUUUUAUCAAUAAAUAUAUAUUGUGUCA